RNAcentral lists this ribosomal RNA (554 nucleotides) under Pseudaegina rhodina. RNAcentral describes it as "partial large subunit ribosomal RNA". It matches the Rfam family "Bacterial large subunit ribosomal RNA", at positions 1836 to 2597 of the family's 2925-position model. Lineage: Eukaryota; Metazoa; Cnidaria; Hydrozoa; Narcomedusae; Pseudaeginidae. The record is from RNAcentral.
UCUCGAUUAUUUUCGAGUGAGACCUGGUCAGUGAUCAAAUAUAAAUUAGAAUAAAAAAGAUUAAACACAAGCCUUAGCGUGAGGGUUAUAAUGUAGCAUAAUCAUUCGACAUUUAAUUGAUGUCUGGUAUGAAUGGUCACACGAUCUGAACAUUGUCUCAGUCUUUAACUUAUCGAAAUUAUCUUGGCGGUGAAGAUACCCCCUAAUACCUGUAAGACGAUAAGACCCCGUAAACCUUUACUAGAGGAAAAAGUUCUUUUUUCCAGAUAGUUUGAUUGGGGCGAUCAUUUUUUUUAACAAAAAUUAAAAAAGGAUUUUCUAAAUUUAUAAUCCAUCAUCUCCUUUACCAUUUUAAUGAGAUAAGUAAGUUACUUAUGACCAUUCCCGAAGACAAUCAAAGGGUAGACAUAAGAUAAAAGGUACUUCGGGGAUAACAGCGUUAUUCAUGUUACCAGAUGGUAUGGUAACAAGUGUUUGCGACCUCGAUGUUGAAUUGGGAUUACCUACCGGUGUAGAAGUUGGUAAGGGUUGGACUGUUCUUCCAUUAAAAUCCC